GGCCGGUUAGCUCAGCUGGUUAGAGCGUGGUGCUAAUAACGCCAAGGUCGCGGGUUCGAGACCCGUACUGGCCA
This is a non-coding RNA of Danio rerio (zebrafish), 74 nucleotides long. NCBI's taxonomy places the organism in Eukaryota, Metazoa, Chordata, Actinopteri, Cypriniformes, Danionidae. The record is from Rfam.